AGAGUUUGAUCCUGGCUCAGGAUGAACGCUGGCGGCGUGCUUAACACAUGCAAGUCGAACGAAGCACUUAUCUUUGAUUCUUCGGAUGAAGAGGUUUGUGACUGAGUGGCGGACGGGUGAGUAACGCGUGGGUAACCUGCCUCAUACAGGGGGAUAACAGUUAGAAAUGACUGCUAAUACCGCAUAAGACCACGGAGCCGCAUGGCUCAGUGGGAAAAACUCCGGUGGUAUGAGAUGGACCCGCGUCUGAUUAGGUAGUUGGUGGGGUAACGGCCUACCAAGCCAACGAUCAGUAGCCGACCUGAGAGGGUGACCGGCCACAUUGGAACUGAGACACGGUCCAAACUCCUACGGGAGGCAGCAGUGGGGAAUAUUGCACAAUGGGGGAAACCCUGAUGCAGCGACGCCGCGUGAGCGAAGAAGUAUUUCGGUAUGUAAAGCUCUAUCAGCAGGGAAGAAAAUGACGGUACCUGACUAAGAAGCACCGGCUAAAUACGUGCCAGCAGCCGCGGUAAUACGUAUGGUGCAAGCGUUAUCCGGAUUUACUGGGUGUAAAGGGAGCGUAGACGGCUGUGUAAGUCUGAAGUGAAAGCCCGGGGCUCAACCCCGGGACUGCUUUGGAAACUAUGCAGCUAGAGUGUCGGAGAGGUAAGUGGAAUUCCCAGUGUAGCGGUGAAAUGCGUAGAUAUUGGGAGGAACACCAGUGGCGAAGGCGGCUUACUGGACGAUGACUGACGUUGAGGCUCGAAAGCGUGGGGAGCAAACAGGAUUAGAUACCCUGGUAGUCCACGCCGUAAACGAGAAUUAAUAGGUAUCGGAGAACAAAGCUUUGAGGUGCGGCAGCAAACGCAAAAAGAUGUCCACCCGGGGAGUACAUUAGCAAGAAUGAAACUUCAAAAGAAUUGUCGGGGACCCGCACAAGCGGUGGAGCAUGUGGUUUAAUUGGAAGCAACGCGAAGAACCUUACCUGCUCUUGACAUCCCGGUGUACCGGCAUGUAAUGAUGCCUUUUCUUCGAAACACCAGUGACAGGUGGUGCAUGGUUGUCGUCAGCUCGUGUCGUGAGAUGUUGGGUUAAGUCCCGCAACGAGCGCAACCCUUAUCUUCAGUAGCCAGCAAUUCGGAUGGGCACUCUGGAGAGACUGCCAGGGAUAACCUGGAGGAAGGUGGGGAUGACGUCAAAUCAUCAUGCCCCUUAUGAGCAGGGCUACACACGUGCUACAAUGGCGUAAACAAAGGGAAGCGAGCCUGCGAGGGUAAGCAAAUCUCAAAAAUAACGUCUCAGUUCGGAUUGUAGUCUGCAACUCGACUACAUGAAGCUGGAAUCGCUAGUAAUCGCGAAUCAGCAUGUCGCGGUGAAUACGUUCCCGGGUCUUGUACACACCGCCCGUCA
Molecule: ribosomal RNA, 1392 nt
Filed under: uncultured bacterium
Lineage: Bacteria
Description: bacterial SSU rRNA
Rfam family: Bacterial small subunit ribosomal RNA
Source: RNAcentral